This 253-nucleotide ribosomal RNA is filed under the name uncultured bacterium. RNAcentral's name for it is "partial 16S ribosomal RNA". It matches the Rfam family "Bacterial small subunit ribosomal RNA", at positions 524 to 776 of the family's 1533-position model. The record is from RNAcentral.
UACGGGGGGGGCAAGCGUUGUUCGGAAUUACUGGGCGUAAAGGGCUCGUAGGCGGUUUGUCGCGUCUGCCGUGAAAGUCCGGGGCUCAACUCCGGAUCUGCGGUGGGUACGGGCAGACUAGAGUGAUGUAGGGGAGACUGGAAUUCCUGGUGUAGCGGUGAAAUGCGCAGAUAUUGGGAAGAACACCAGUGGCGAAGGCGGUUCUCUGGGACGGUACUGACGCUGAGACGCGAAAGCGUGGGGAGCGAACAGG